RNAcentral lists this microRNA precursor (71 nucleotides) under Callorhinchus milii (elephant shark). Its description in RNAcentral is "Cmi-Let-7-P2a2_pre stem-loop". It matches the Rfam family "let-7 microRNA precursor family", at positions 7 to 78 of the family's 84-position model. From Rfam's summary of the family: This family represents the microRNAs (miRNA) let-7 and mir-98. let-7 was identified from a study of developmental timing in C. elegans, and was later shown to be part of a much larger class of non-coding RNAs termed miRNAs. The record is from RNAcentral. Lineage: Eukaryota; Metazoa; Chordata; Chondrichthyes; Chimaeriformes; Callorhinchidae. RNAcentral also lists the same sequence under 1 other name.
UGAGGUAGUAGGUUGUAUAGUUUUAGGGUUACACCCUUCCGGUCAGAUAACUAUACAAUCUACUGUCUUUC